RNAcentral lists this ribosomal RNA (119 nucleotides) under Tropilaelaps mercedesae. The record is from RNAcentral. Lineage: Eukaryota; Metazoa; Arthropoda; Arachnida; Mesostigmata; Laelapidae.
GGUAUCGGCCUAAUUACGCUCAAUAUGCCGGGUGUCGUUCGAUCACCGAAGCCACCCAAUCUUGGACCCAGUUAGUACUUGGAAGGGAGACCGCCUGGGAACACCGGCUGUUGAUAGCA